UCCUAAUUGCUGAUGAAAUCCUUAACAAACAAAUACCCUAAUUUAAUUGCUAACCCUAACCAACAACCACAAACCAGGCCUAGUAGUGGAGUGGUGAAGGGAAUCUGGAUGGGCUUAUUGGAUUGAAGCCCAUCCUAAUCAAUCAGCUAAAAACGAGAAAAAAAGGAUGGAAUUGGAGUUUGUGAGGUAAUAUCAGAUUAUCAGCUACCUCUACCUCUGUUAAUGAUGAAAAUAUGAUGCUAGUUUUGUUUUAAUGUUUUGUAAAUAGUUCUACAAUCUGGCAUUAGAUACGGUGAAUGAUAAAUAAAAAGAAAAAGUGUUCUAUUGAACUCCCAAAGAUCACUCUGUCUCAUUUCCUGAGAAUGUCCAAGGAGGGAAGUUGGUAGUUUGUUCGGACAGAACCGCAGUCCAUUGUCCAUACAAUAAAACCUUAACAUUAUUGGAUAUUAUAGCCUUGCCUCUGUACCAUGAUCACAAUCUUGUUUAUUUUAUUUUCCUAAAUAUUAUUGUAAAUUAGUUCUCCAACCUGUAUUUUUUUAGCUGGUUGAUUCCAUCAGUCAACAAUAAAAUGUUGGUUGUUGGAUUACAUUGUUGUAUUGUAGCUUAUGAAAUAAGAUUUUAAUAUUUAUCACAAAUUUUGAUUAUCAGAUUUUGUGUCUUUAUUACGUGAUGUUUAACUUAUACUUUCUCCCGAGAUCCUUAUUAUAAGAAAAAAUUCACGUUACAUAAUUAUUCAAUGCAUCAAUUCCCCCCAUGAUCCACACGGUUCCCAGCCCAUGAUCCACACGGUUCCCAGCGGAUUAUUACAAACGGAAGACAUGAACACGGACUUCGCAGCUGCGCAGACGGUGAAGCUUUCGCCACCGUCCUCCUUCCAUCUUCUUUUCGUCUCCGCUCCACUGCUUCUCGCUUCAGUCACACUUCUCUUCUUCUGUUCUAUUUCUGUUUCUCUGUUUUUUUCUGCUGUUCUGUGAAUUCAGAUUUUAUCUGUUGCAGCUUGUUGAAGAUUUUUGUUGGAGAUAACGGUUGAACGUGGAUGGAGGGGGAAUAGAGGAUGAAAAAGGUGUUUUGGAAGAUCGUUUCUGAUAUAUUUUGUUUGGUUCUAUAGGUUUUAGGGGUUUAGGAUUCUGUUGAGAGAAUUGGAGAGGGAAGGUCGAGGUACUGUGAGGAUUUCUUGGUUUUAAGUUGCUGGUUCUGUUAGCGAGAGUUGCAGGGUGAAGGUCUGAUGCAGAGAUAGGAGUUUGCAGAAUGUGCUUCUCUGAUGCAGAAGCUUGCAGAUUAGGGUCGAGAAUCUGUGGAAUGCAGCAGAUGAAAAAUAGAGUGCCGACCCUUGAAGUGUGAAGAAUGGAAAUGAGAUUGGUUGAUGCGAAUCAAAUGCCAGCAUUCACCCUGCAAUGAACCGAUCCCUUAUUUUGAAGAAAAACCAGUUAGCUCAAAUUAUGGGAAUUAAUGGACGACUGCUAAAACAGUAAUGUCGGUUCUAACGUUGGAUUAGUGGUUUUCCACUUGGUUUGUAGAAGUAAUAUGGUUUACAAAUAAGCUAACAUUGUUAUUUAGUACAUUAUACUGGCUUGUGCAUCACUAUUAUGAGCUUAAACAGUGAAUGAAAUUGUGUAUUGCAGUGCAGUUAAAAUUCCCAGCCGACUUCGAAAUGUCGUGUUGCGAAGUUUUAAAGGAUAUCCCGCUGCUAUAGAUUAACCAUUAGCCAAGGUCUUAAGUCAAGUUUUGGCUUCACUUGGCAUGGUGGGCAAAAUUGCAAGUCAACUUCAAGGCAAGAAAGGCAAGUUCAAGAUAUGAUGACCAAUUUGGCAAAAGCUUGAUUAAUGGAGUAAAUGGUGGCCAUGGAUGAUAAUGAGAUGCUACAAUGAUGAAGAUGUAAUUAGUGUUAAGAUCCUAGGGUGCAAAAAUGAUGGUUGACUUUGGUCAAUUGUUUGACCAAAAAGUCAACAAUUGACCAAAAGUCCAACAUUUUGUAAAAUGAAUUUUGAUUUAUUUUUGUAAAGAACAAGGCAC
This is a long non-coding RNA of Lathyrus oleraceus (garden pea), 2013 nucleotides long. RefSeq lists it as uncharacterized. The transcript is spliced from 4 exons. NCBI's taxonomy places the organism in Eukaryota, Viridiplantae, Streptophyta, Magnoliopsida, Fabales, Fabaceae. The record is from RefSeq and is a predicted model, not a curated record.